CCUGACUGCUAUCGGAUUGAUACUAAGCCAUGCGAGUCAUUGUAGCAAUACAAGGCAGACGGCUCAGUAACGCGUAGUCAAUCUACCCUAUGGACGGGAAUAACCUCGGGAAACUGAGAAUAAUGCCCGAUAGAACAUUAUACCUGGAACGGUUUAUGUUUCAAAUGAUUUAUCGCCGUAGGAUGGGACUGCGGCCUAUCAGUUUGUUGGUGAGGUAAUGGCCCACCAAGACUAUUACAGGUACGGGCUCUGAGAGGAGUAGCCCGGAGAUGGGUACUGAGACACGGACCCAGGCCCUAUGGGGCGCAGCAGGCGAGAAAACUUUGCAAUGUGCGAAAGCACGACAAGGUUAAUCCGAGUGGUUUCUGCUAAAGAAACCUUUUGCUAGUCCUAGAAACACUAGUGAAUAAGGGGUGGGCAAGUUCUGGUGUCCA
Molecule: ribosomal RNA, 434 nt
Filed under: uncultured archaeon
Lineage: Archaea
Description: bacterial SSU rRNA
Rfam family: Archaeal small subunit ribosomal RNA
Source: RNAcentral